GGGACGGUCGGGGCCGCCCGUACCGGGUCGUGAGAGGUGAAAUUCUAGGAUCGACCCCGAGACGAACCGCCGCGAAAGCAUUCGGCAAGGACGCUUUCAUUAAUCAAGAACGAAAAGUCGGGGGAUCGAAGACGAUCAGAUACCGUCGUAGUCCCGACCGUAAACGAUGCCGUCUUCCGCACGAGCUUCUUAGAGGGGACCGUCCCCCGCCGGGGAAGGAGGUGCGAGGCAACGACAGGUCUGUGAUGGCCCUUAGAUCGUUCUGGGGCCGCACGCGCAUUACACUGACGCGUCCAACGGGUGACUCCCGACCCGAAGGGCCGGGGAAUCCGCAAGGCGCGUCGUGAUGGGGAUUGAACGUUGCAAUUGUUGUUCACGAACGAGGAAUUCCUAGUAGGCGCGGGUCAUCAACCCGCGCCGAUUACGGUCCCUGCCCUUUGUACACACCGCCCG
RNAcentral lists this ribosomal RNA (453 nucleotides) under uncultured eukaryote. RNAcentral's name for it is "bacterial SSU rRNA". It matches the Rfam family "Eukaryotic small subunit ribosomal RNA", at positions 875 to 1675 of the family's 1831-position model. The record is from RNAcentral.